RNAcentral lists this ribosomal RNA (427 nucleotides) under uncultured bacterium. RNAcentral's name for it is "partial 16S ribosomal RNA". It matches the Rfam family "Bacterial small subunit ribosomal RNA", at positions 354 to 796 of the family's 1533-position model. The record is from RNAcentral.
GUGAGGAAUCUUCCACAAUGGGCGAAAGCCUGAUGGAGCAACGCCGCGUGAAGGAUGAAGGUCUUCGGAUUGUAAACUUCUUUUAUGAGUGAAGAAUAUGACGGUAACUCAUGAAUAAGCACCGGCUAACUACGUGCCAGCAGCCGCGGUCAUACGUAGGGUGCAAGCAUUAUCCGGAGUGACUGGGCGUAAAGAGUUGCGUAGGCGGUUAUGUAAGAGAAUAGUGAAACCUGGUGGCUCAACCACACAGACUAUUAUUCGAACUGCAUAACGAGAGAAUGGUAGAGGUAACUGGAAUUUCUUGUGUAGGAGUGAAAUCCGUAGAUAUAAGAAGGAACACCAAUGGCGUAGGCAGGUUACUGGGCCAUUUCUGACGCUAAGGCACGAAAGCGUGGGGAGCGAACCGGAUUAGAAACCCGUGUAGUCC